This is a non-coding RNA of Plectropomus leopardus (leopard coralgrouper), 381 nucleotides long. The record is from RefSeq and is a predicted model, not a curated record. NCBI's taxonomy places the organism in Eukaryota, Metazoa, Chordata, Actinopteri, Perciformes, Serranidae.
UCCGUGGAAACGCUGGACGCUGACCUGCAGUGGCUGACGUCUCGCACGCGCUCAGUAGAGGAGAACAUCCAGAGAGACACGGAGCUGCUGCAGCAACUCGACGGCUUCCUGCAGUCGGCCACCUCGUCUCUGUGCUCGCUGCGCGGCAGCCGGCAGCAGCUGAAGAGGGAAGGCAGCGAGCUCAUGGACUUCUUCUGUGAAGACAGAGAGACGUUCAGACUGGACGACUGCUUCAGCAUCUUCAACACCUUCUGCUGCAAGUUCUCUGAUGCUGUCAAGGAGAACACGGAGAGGGAGGCGAAGGAGGCGGCGAGGCGCCGGAGGAUACAGGAGCUGGAGGAGCAGAAGAGGCACUCAUGGGCCGGUGGGGAGGAGGUGAUG